AUGUGUUUUUGUCACCAUGAUGAGACAAUAAAACAUUUAUUCUUCCAAUGCAAAUUGGCUCAUUCUAUAUGGUCAGUCAUCCAGAUAGCUUCUGGCUUGUAUCCUCCUUGUAGUGUUGCUAAUGUAUUUGGCAACUGGUUACAUGGGGUAGAUCACAGGUUCAGAACUCUUCUUAGGGUGGGAGCGUUUGCCGUUAUUUGGUCGCUUUGGCUAUGUAGAAAUGAUAAGGUUUUUAACAAUAGAAGUACUUUUAUCAUGCAGGUUAUCUACAGAUGUACCGGGACUCUUCGUUUAUGGUCCUCUCUACAACGCGUGAGAAUCAAGAACUGUUUACAGAGGUGUGUACACGGUUGA
RNAcentral lists this ribosomal RNA (354 nucleotides) under Triticum aestivum (bread wheat). Its description in RNAcentral is "partial small subunit ribosomal RNA". Lineage: Eukaryota; Viridiplantae; Streptophyta; Magnoliopsida; Poales; Poaceae. The record is from RNAcentral.